CCCACUGCCACUCCCACGCCACUCCCUCUGUUUAUAUAUAAACAUCUUCAUUUCCUCUCCAUUUCAUCACUCAAAAACCACCAUUCUCUGAUUCCCCAAAAACCACUUUUCUGUCUUCCAAAACCCUCAUUGAAUCACUCCUCAUUCAAUGGACGCCAAAAUCGGAUCGCUCGACACUUGCAAACCCCCCAACAACGUCGUUUGUUGCCCAUCCAACGGCUCUGUUUGCACCAUCCAAAAUUCCGUCCCCGCCACCGUCGUCAACUCCUCGGAGGCCACCCUCGGCCGCCACCUCGCCCGCCGUCUAGUCCAAAUCGGCGUCACCGAUGUUUUCACUGUCCCUGGCGAUUUUAACCUAACGCUUCUCGACCAUUUAAUCGCCGAGCCUGCGCUCAAUAACAUCGGCUGCUGUAACGAGCUUAAUGCUGGAUACGCCGCUGACGGCUACGCUAGGUCCCGCGGCGUCGGCGCGUGUGUCGUCACGUUCACCGUCGGCGGUCUUAGCGUUCUGAAUGCCAUCGCCGGCGCUUACAGUGAGAACUUGCCGCUCAUUUGCAUAGUCGGUGGCCCUAACUCCAACGAUUAUGGAACUAACAGAAUCCUUCAUCAUACAAUCGGCCUCCCUGACUUCAGCCAAGAACUCCGAUGCUUUCAAACCGUCACUUGCUUUCAGGCUGUUGUGAAUAAUCUCGAAGAUGCUCAUGAGUUGAUUGAUACUGCCAUUUCUACUGCCUUGAAAGAAAGCAAGCCUGUUUACAUUAGUAUUAGUUGUAAUUUGCCUGGGAUUCCUCAUCCUACUUUCAGCCGUGAUCCAGUUCCAUUUUCACUUUCUCCCAAAGUGAGCAAUCCACAUGGGUUGGAGGCAGCAGUGGAGGCAGCAGCACAUUUCUUGAACAAGGCUGUGAAGCCAGUGCUUGUUGGUGGGCCUAAAAUGCGAGUUGCCAAGGCUUGUGAUGCAUUUGUGGAGCUUGCCGAUGCUUGUGGCUAUGCCUUGGCUGUAAUGCCAUCAGCGAAAGGGUUCGUCCCCGAGCACCAUCCUCAUUUCAUUGGAACUUACUGGGGUGCUGUCAGUACCGCCUUCUGCGCCGAGAUCGUUGAGUCUGCCGAUGCGUACUUGUUUGCCGGGCCAAUUUUCAAUGACUACAGCUCUGUUGGUUACUCUCUUUUACUCAAAAGGGAGAAGGCCAUUAUUGUGCAGCCUGAUCGAGUGACCAUUGGCAAUGGACCUACAUUUGGCUGUGUUCUAAUGAAAGAUUUCCUUCAAGCACUUUCAAAGCGUGUUAACAACAACACUACUGCAUAUGAAAACUACCAUAGAAUCUUUGUUCCUGAAGGCCAUCCUUUGAAAUCUGAGCCUAAAGAGGCGUUGAGAGUCAAUAUUUUGUUCCAACACAUUCAGAAGAUGCUCAGUAAUCAAACGGCUGUGAUUGCUGAAACAGGGGAUUCUUGGUUUAACUGCCAGAAACUUAAAUUACCAAAAGGAUGCGGAUAUGAAUUCCAAAUGCAGUAUGGUUCUAUUGGUUGGUCAGUUGGUGCUACACUUGGAUAUGCACAAGCUGUUCCAGAAAAAAGAGUAAUUGCUUGUAUUGGUGAUGGAAGUUUUCAGGUGACUGCACAAGACAUAUCGACGAUGAUCCGUUGCGGACAGAAAACCAUCAUAUUCUUGAUAAACAAUGGUGGCUACACCAUUGAAGUCGAGAUCCACGACGGGCCUUAUAAUGUGAUCAAGAACUGGAACUACACGGCAUUGGUCGAUGCAAUUCACAAUGGGGAUGGGAAGUGUUGGACGACAAAGGUUCGAUGCGAGGAAGAGCUUGUGGAGGCCAUUGAAACAGCUACAGAAGCCAAAAAGGACAGCUUGUGUUUCAUUGAGGUUAUUGCUCACAAGGAUGAUACAAGCAAAGAGCUAUUGGAAUGGGGUUCAAGAGUCUCUGCUGCCAACAGCCGCCCUCCCAAUCCUCAGUAGAAGACAAAUAAGAAAAUAAAAAAAACUUUAUCAACUUUGCAGCAUUUACUUUUCUCAUUAUCGUGUCAUCUUUUUAAGGUAAAAAAAGUGUUUAAUUUGAGAUUGUAUUAGAAAAAAACGAAGUAUUUUGUUGUGUAAAUUCCUCUUAAGAUUUUCUUAUUGAGAACAAUAUUUUCU
RNAcentral lists this unclassified non-coding RNA (2143 nucleotides) under Hevea brasiliensis (rubber tree). Lineage: Eukaryota; Viridiplantae; Streptophyta; Magnoliopsida; Malpighiales; Euphorbiaceae. The record is from RNAcentral.